CCAGGAUGGAGAACAGGGGUCAGGAUGGAGAACAGGGGUCAGGAUGGAGAACAGGGGUCAGGAUGGAGAACAGGGGUCAGGAUGGAGAACAGGGGUCAGGAUGGAGAACAGGUGUCAGGAUGGAGAACAGGGGUCAGGAUGGAGAACAGGGGUCAGGAUGGAGAACAGGGGUCAGGAUGGAGAACAGGGGUCAGGAUGGAGAACAGGGGUCAGGAUGGAGAACAGGGGUCAGGAUGGAGAACAGGGGUCAUGGUGGAGAACAGGGGUCAUGGUGGAGAACAGGGGUCAGGAUGGAGAACAGGGGUCAGGAUGGAGAACAGGGGUCAUGGUGGAGAACAGGGGUCAGGAUGGAGAACAGGUGUCAGGAUGGAGAACAGGGGUCAGGAUGGAGAACAGGGGUCAGGAUGGAGAACAGGGGUCAGGAUGGAGAACAGGGGUCAGGAUGGAGAACAGGGGGUCAGGAUGGAGAACAGGGGUCAGGAUGGAGAACAGGGGUCAGGAUGGAGAACAGGGGUCAUGGUGGAGAACAGGGGUCAGGAUGGAGAACAGGGGUCAGGAUGGAGAACAGGGGUCAGGAUGGAGAACAGGG
This is a long non-coding RNA of Oncorhynchus tshawytscha (Chinook salmon), 589 nucleotides long. The record is from Ensembl. Lineage: Eukaryota; Metazoa; Chordata; Actinopteri; Salmoniformes; Salmonidae.